UAAUCACUUUAUCAUUACUUUGAAUAAAAUAGAGUGUUUAAAGCAAAACAUUAAGUUAAUGAAUAUUCAAGCAUGGGACAAUGCUGAGGGGAUGUCUUCGGACAUUUCGAGAGAAGGAUUAAAAGGAACAAUUGGGGUGAUUCAGAAAAUAACGGGAGAGGUGAAAUUCCAUGAUCGCUAUAAGAUGCACGAGAGCGAAAGCAUUUCACUCAACUGGGUCCAUUAAUCAAGAACGAAAGUUAGGGGAUCGAAGACGAUCAGAUACCGUCGUAGUCCUAACUAUAAACGAUGUCAACCAAGGAUUGGAUGAAAUAAAGAAAUUCGCGGAUGAAGAAACAUUGUUUCGGAAACCAAGAGUUUCACAACUACCUUGUUCAGAACUUAAAGAGAAAUCUCGAGUUUAUGGACUUCAGGGGGAGUAUGAUCACAAGGCUGAAACUUAAAGGAAUUGACGGAAGGGCACACCAGGAGUGGAGCCUGCGGCUUAAUUUGACUCAACACGGGAAAACUUACCAAGACCGAACAGUAGAAGGAAUGACAGAUUAAGAGUUCUUUCAUGAUUUAUUGGGUAGUGGUGCAUGGCCGUUCUUAGUUGGUGGAGUGAUUUGUCAGGUUAAUUCCGGUAACGAACGAGACUGAAACCUAUUAAUUAGUUUCCUGCCUAUACGACAGGAAUCUCCGCAAGGUCAGGUGCCUCGGUACCACUUCUUAAAGGGACACAUUUCAAUUGUCU
RNAcentral lists this ribosomal RNA (733 nucleotides) under Entamoeba moshkovskii. RNAcentral's name for it is "SSU rRNA". It matches the Rfam family "Eukaryotic small subunit ribosomal RNA", at positions 738 to 1431 of the family's 1831-position model. Lineage: Eukaryota; Evosea; Mastigamoebida; Endamoebidae. The record is from RNAcentral.